This 377-nucleotide ribosomal RNA is filed under the name uncultured bacterium. RNAcentral describes it as "bacterial SSU rRNA". It matches the Rfam family "Bacterial small subunit ribosomal RNA", at positions 523 to 898 of the family's 1533-position model. The record is from RNAcentral.
AUACGUAGGGGGCGAGCGUUGUCCGAAUUCACUGGGCGUAAAGCGCGCGUAGGCGGGUUAUUAAGUUAGUGGUGAAAUCCCGAGGCUCAACCUCGGAACUGCCGUUAAAACUGGUAGCCUUGAGGUAUGGAGAGGGAAGUGGAAUUCCAGGUGUAGCGGUGAUAUGCGUAGAUAUCUGGAGGAACACCCGUGGCGAAGGCGGCUUCCUGGCCAUAUCCUGACGCUGAGGUGCGAAAGCUAGGGGAGCGAACGGGAUUAGAUACCCCGGUAGUCCUAGCCGUAAACGAUGGAUACUAGGUGUUAGUGGUAUCGACCCCACUAGUGCCGGAGCUAACGCAUUAAGUAUCCCGCCUGGGGAGUACGACCGCAAGGUUGAA